GUCAUAAUCCGACCUGUCAGCCAGGCCCAGGUAGAAAGUCAAAUAACCUAGGCCCUGCACCAUUGCACCCAGGUAAGAGAGCCAAAUCACCUAAGUGCUGGACCCAGGAAUGGAUUACUGUCUAUCCUACUUCCCCAAAAGAGAAUUAACAGCAUAGAAAUUAUGCCUAAAAGCCAGGUAUUUAUAUACCAGGUUUCUCUUACUGAUAACUCUGGAUUGAGUUGUUUCCAUUAAAUCAACAAUAUUAAAUGUCUUGGGGUGGAGCCAAGAUGGCCAAAUAAGAACAGCUCCAGUCUACAACUCCCAGCGUGAGCGACGCAGAAGACGGGUGAUUUCUGCAUUUCCAGCUGAGCUACCGGAGUUUUAGCCAAUUCAAAUGCCUUGUUCCCCACAAUUUGGAACAUUCCUUUGGAUGUGACCAAGUCAGGAAAAGAUGGUCAUACUUCAUGGGAGAAAUGUGAAACAACAACAAAAUCCCAAACAUAAACAAAAACAGUUAAGCAAAACAAACAAAUUCAUAUGAAUACCAAGUGUUCUAACAGUAAGGAGAAAUUAAAACCAGCUGGUUGGUAAUCUUAACUUUUAGUCAUUAAGGAACAUUUUUAAGACAAAACUCUAAUUCAGCUACUUACCUGGAAAUAAAGCUCAGGCUGAUGAUCGCUCUCUACCAUCAUAGAGAGGCAGGAAAAAACUCACACUCACCUUCUCUGUCAGAAGCAAGUUGAAACUCAAGAAAGAAGGUGCCUGCUCUCCAUCAUCAUGGAAGCAGGAAAACUUGCCUUCCUUGUUGGAAAUGAGUAAAACUUCAGAAAAGGAGUUGUACAGCAAAAUAACUUCAAAUAGCAACCAAAUUUUGGGAGAUCAGGGACUCUCUGGAGGGGAGAAGCUCCCCAAGCUCCACAAAUUAGCCUAUUGGCUUGAGAAAUAAAGAUAACCCAGGUUGGUAUCAAGCAAAAAUAAAAGAUUUAUCAAAGGUCA
This is a long non-coding RNA of Pan troglodytes (chimpanzee), 978 nucleotides long. RefSeq lists it as uncharacterized. The record is from RefSeq and is a predicted model, not a curated record. NCBI's taxonomy places the organism in Eukaryota, Metazoa, Chordata, Mammalia, Primates, Hominidae. The transcript has 4 exons.